GGGUGAGGAAUACAUCGGAAUCUACUCUGUCGUGGGGGAUAACGUAGGGAAACUUACGCUAAUACCGCAUACGACCUACGGGUGAAAGCAGGGGAUCUUCGGACCUUGCGCGAUUGAAUGAGCCGAUGUCGGAUUAGCUAGUUGGCGGGGUAAAGGCCCACCAAGGCGACGAUCCGUAGCUGGUCUGAGAGGAUGAUCAGCCACACUGGAACUGAGACACGGUCCAGACUCCUACGGGAGGCAGCAGUGGGGAAUAUUGGACAAUGGGCGCAAGCCUGAUCCAGCCAUACCGCGUGGGUGAAGAAGGCCUUCGGGUUGUAAAGCCCUUUUGUUGGGAAAGAAAUCCAGCUGGCUAAUACCCGGUUGGGAUGACGGUACCCAAAGAAUAAGCACCGGCUAACUUCGUGCCAGCAGCCGCGGUAAUACGAAGGGUGCAAGCGUUACUCGGAAUUACUGGGCGUAAAGCGUGCGUAGGUGGUCGUUUAAGUCCGUUGUGAAAGCCCUGGGCUCAACCUGGGAACUGCAGUGGAUACUGGGCGACUAGAGUGUGGUAGAGGGUAGCGGAAUUCCUGGUGUAGCAGUGAAAUGCGUAGAGAUCAGGAGGAACAUCCAUGGCGAAGGCAGCUACCUGGACCAACACUGACACUGAGGCACGAAAG
RNAcentral lists this ribosomal RNA (659 nucleotides) under uncultured Pseudomonadota bacterium. Its description in RNAcentral is "bacterial SSU rRNA". It matches the Rfam family "Bacterial small subunit ribosomal RNA", at positions 104 to 759 of the family's 1533-position model. The record is from RNAcentral. Lineage: Bacteria; Pseudomonadati; Pseudomonadota.